GACGAUGGUGUCCUUAGCCACAUUUCUCUUUGUCUUUUCUAUCCUUAAACCUGGGUCCCCCUCUGAAAUUCGACUGACUCAGUCUGGUGAGGGAAUCAGAAAGCCUGGAGAAUCCCUUCAGUUGACCUGCGCUGUCUCUGGUUACACCAUCACUACUGGCUAUGGUUGGCACUGGGUCCGCCAGCCUCCAGGGAAAGGACUGCAAUGGAUAGGAAGGGGAUAUUACAGCAGUUCAAGAUGGAACACAGAUUAUGGUUCAGCCUUCCAGAGCAGGAUUUCCAUCACUCUUGAUUCAUCCAAGAAUGCAUAUCAUCUCCAGCUGAAUUCCCUGACAGCUGCAGACACAGCCAUGUAUUACUGUGCAAGGGAACACAGUGACACAGAGAAAGUCUGCCAUCUGUACAAAAAGGAGAAGUUUCCUUUUUUUCUGCUUCUGUUGCAAGUUCUUCCUUCAAUGCACAACUCUGUUUUUCAUCCAGAAGGCAUUCAAAAUUACAUGUUGAUUGCUACAAAAAAGUGUGUUCCCUGCAUUCAAUGA
Molecule: non-coding RNA, 538 nt
Organism: Lacerta agilis (Sand lizard)
Lineage: Eukaryota; Metazoa; Chordata; Lepidosauria; Squamata; Lacertidae
Source: the annotation of a RefSeq genome assembly